Molecule: non-coding RNA, 775 nt
Filed under: Albulina orbitula
Lineage: Eukaryota; Metazoa; Arthropoda; Insecta; Lepidoptera; Lycaenidae
Source: RNAcentral
AAAAAAUUUUUAUAGUUUUAAUAUUUUAUUUUAAAUAUGAUUUACAUACAAAUUUUAGUGUUAAAUUUUGUUUAUUUUAAUAAUAAAAAAAUAUUAUAAGGUAGUAAUUAACUUUAAAUUAUUUAAGAAAUUAAGAUUUAAUGAUUUAGAAAUAAAUAACUAAUUUUGUGCCAGCAGUUGCGGUUAUACAAAAAUUUAAUUAAAAUUUUUCAGUAUAUAUUAAAUAAAUUUAAAUUUAAAUUAAAAAUUAAAUUAUUAAGUGAAAUUUUAAUUUAAUAAAAAUUUAAAAAAUUAUAUGAAUUAAUAAAUUUAUAUAAAAACUAGGAUUAGAUACCCUAUUAUUAAAAUAAACAAAAUUUAUACUAAAAUAGUAAAUAAUGAUUUAUUGAAACUUAAAUAAUUUGGCGGUAUUUUAGUUCAUUUAGAGGAAUCUGUCUAAUAAUUGAUAAUCCACGAUUAAAUUUACUUAAUUUAAAAUUUUAUAUAUCGUUGUUAAAAAAAUAUUUUAAAAUAAAAAUAAUAUUUAAAAAUUAUAAUUAAAAAUUAGUUCAGAUCAAGAUGUAGAUUAUAAUUAAGAAUAUGAUGGAUUACAAUAAAUUUAUUUAAAUGAAUUUUUUUUUAUUUUAAAAUAUAAAUGAAAUUGGAUUUAAAUGUAAUUUUAUUUAAUAUAAUAAAAUGAUUUUAAAUUGAAAUAUGUACAUAUUGCCCGUCGCUUUCAUUUUAAAAUUGAAAUAAGUCGUAACAAAGUAGAAGUACUGGAAAGUGUUUCUAGAAU